This 390-nucleotide unclassified non-coding RNA is filed under the name soil metagenome. RNAcentral describes it as "partial contains 5.8S ribosomal RNA, internal transcribed spacer 2, and large subunit ribosomal RNA". The stretch from base 1 to 122 matches the Rfam family "5.8S ribosomal RNA", at positions 35 to 154 of the family's 154-position model. The record is from RNAcentral.
GAUGAAGAACGUAGCGAAAUGCGAUACUUGGUGUGAAUUGCAGAAUCCCGUGAACCAUCGAGUCUUUGAACGCAAGUUGCGCCCGAAGCCAUUAGGCCGAGGGCACGCCUGCCUGGGCGUCACACGUCGUUGCCCCCCCAUCUACUCCUUCGGGAUUGCGGGGGGCGGAUGAUGGCCUCCCGUGCGCCUCGUCGCGCGGUUGGCAUAAAUACCAAGUCCUCGGCGACGCACGCCACGACAAUCGGUGGUUGCGAAACCUCGGUUGCCCGUCGUGUGCGGUCGUCGCGCAUCGAGGGCUCGAAAAAAUUGCCGGGCUCCGGCUCGGCUUUCAACGCGACCCCAGGUCAGGCGGGGUUACCCGCUGAAUUUAAGCAUAUCAAUAAGCGGGGA